RNAcentral lists this ribosomal RNA (492 nucleotides) under uncultured bacterium. RNAcentral describes it as "partial 16S ribosomal RNA". It matches the Rfam family "Bacterial small subunit ribosomal RNA", at positions 30 to 507 of the family's 1533-position model. The record is from RNAcentral.
AUUGAACGCUGGCGGUAGGCCUAACACAUGCAAGUCGAACGGCAGCACAGUAAGAGCUUGCUCUUACGGGUGGCGAGUGGCGGACGGGUGAGGAAUACAUCGGAAUCUACUUUUUCGUGGGGGAUAACGUAGGGAAACUUACGCUAAUACCGCAUACGACCUACGGGUGAAAGCAGGGGCUCUUCGGACCUUGCGCGAUUGAAUGAGCCGAUGUCGGAUUAGCUAGUUGGCGGGGUAAAGGCCCACCAAGGCGACGAUCCGUAGCUGGUCUGAGAGGAUGAUCAGCCACACUGGAACUGAGACACGGUCCAGACUCCUACGGGAGGCAGCAGUGGGGAAUAUUGGACAAUGGGCGCAAGCCUGAUCCAGCCAUACCGCGUGGGUGAAGAAGGCCUUCGGGUUGUAAAGCCCUUUUGUUGGGAAAGAAAAGCAGCAGGUUAAUACCCCGCUGUUCUGACGGUACCCAAAGAAUAAGCACCGGCUAACUUCGUG